AUCUUCACUACGUGCCAGUUUGCAAUAAAUAAAGGAAAGAAAUACAUAAUGGCGUUUAUUAUCUAACUGGAACGCAUAACCAUAAUCCUUAGUUAUGGUCACAAUUUAACUUAGUAAUUCUCGCUGCAUAAUAUCCGACUACAAUGGUCAAAAAUGUUCAGUAAUCUGCUGAGGAGUAAAUCGAGGAUAUGAAAGGCAGAUAUUUCGAGAUUCUUUAUGAAGCGGAACAUCGAACAAAUGCAGUGGAGAAUACAGCAGCUGAGCGUUACUACAUCUCAACUUGGUGCUUCUAAUAUUUCUAGGAUCGAGCACUGUCAUCAUGCACGUAAUUGUGAUAUCUUCCCUUUUACAGAUGGGCUUAGUAAAGCCCGUCGAAUGAAUACAGCAACCGAUCGCUGUUAUCGCAAGCCAGGUUAGUGCAUGUAAUGUUCUUUCACGGCAACGCUGUCGUCAUCACGUUUUCUUCUUCUUCUCUAACAUUCCGGCCGGGUCUUCCUUUACGGAUUGGCUUAAUUCCACUGGGUUGAAACGUCUCGUCGUAGUAUAAUCGUCGGAUCAUGUCAUGUUGUUAACAUUCCUCACAAUUCCGCGGUACUUUUGUUCGAACUAAGUACGAAACUAUAAAUGUCGUUUUCUUACCGCAUAGGAGGCUAAGAAAAUCUAUACAAAUCGUGAGCACAACUUAGGCUAUAUACACUUCAACAAAAUCGUACAUUUUCCCAAAGGUGCAAAGUUAACCUUUUAAUAUGGCUUAGCGACAAUCUAUCUAUCCUUAAAUCAACUCUUCAUAACCGUUCCAAAUUUAAUUACUUUCCCGUAAGCACAGAGAGGAAUGGAGACGGUAGGUGUAAGGACAAGUAAGUGGUGCAAGUAAUAAGUUUAACGAUGAUAAUGAUUUUUCACUUACGUUUUUAGGUCAAAAAGUUUUGUUUAUUUACAAACAUGCACGCGUUUAUAGAAAUUUAAGUUAUCUCGUAAGCAGCUUACAACAAUCACUUAUUAAACAUUACUCACGCACAUCUCAUCAUUUAUUAUGCAUUAUAAUGAUGAUUUUAGCACAAUACACGCCGUAAUGCAACAUCAACAUACCUACGUCUGGGAAUGAAGAUGAAAAAUUAAAAG
Long non-coding RNA from Glossina fuscipes, 1122 nucleotides. RefSeq lists it as uncharacterized. The transcript is spliced from 3 exons. The record is from RefSeq and is a predicted model, not a curated record. NCBI's taxonomy places the organism in Eukaryota, Metazoa, Arthropoda, Insecta, Diptera, Glossinidae.